Molecule: ribosomal RNA, 468 nt
Filed under: uncultured bacterium
Lineage: Bacteria
Description: partial 16S ribosomal RNA
Rfam family: Bacterial small subunit ribosomal RNA
Source: RNAcentral
GACGAACGCUGGCGGCGUGCUUAACACAUGCAAGUCGAACGGAAAGGCCCUGCUUUUGUGGGGUGCUCGAGUGGCGAACGGGUGAGUAACACGUGAGUAACCUGCCCUUGACUUUGGGAUAACUUCAGGAAACUGGGGCUAAUACCGGAUAGGAGCUCCUGCUGCAUGGUGGGGGUUGGAAAGUUUCGGCGGUUGGGGAUGGACUCGCGGCUUAUCAGCUUGUUGGUGGGGUAGUGGCUUACCAAGGCUUUGACGGGUAGCCGGCCUGAGAGGGUGACCGGCCACAUUGGGACUGAGAUACGGCCCAGACUCCGACGGGAGGCAGCAGUGGGGAAGAUUGCACAAUGGGCGGAAGCCUGAUGCAGCAACGCCGCGUGCGGGAUGACGGCCUUCGGGUUGUAAACCGCUUUCGCCUGUGACGAAGCGUGAGUGACGGUAAUGGGUAAAGAAGCACCGGCUAACUACGUG